This is a long non-coding RNA of Gasterosteus aculeatus aculeatus (three-spined stickleback), 420 nucleotides long. The record is from Ensembl. NCBI's taxonomy places the organism in Eukaryota, Metazoa, Chordata, Actinopteri, Perciformes, Gasterosteidae.
GUGGUUCUAUGUCGAUGGUGGUUCUCUGAUGUUGGUUCUAUCUGAUGGUGGUUCUAUGUGGAUGGUGGUUCUAUCUGAUGUUGGUUCUAUCUGAUGGUGGUUCUAUGUGGAUGGUGGUUCUAUCUGAUGUUGGUUCUACCUGAUGUUGGUUCUAUCUGAUGGUGGUUCUAUGUGGAUGGUGGUUCUAUCUGAUGGUGGUUCUAUGUGGAUGGUGGUUCUAUCUGAUGGUGGUUCUAUGUGAUGGUGGUUCUAUCUGAUGGUGGUUGCCCCUGCAGUGGUCCUGCUGUGUGCCUGGCUUACUACUCACAAUUACUUGAAUCAUUUCUGUCAUAUAAUUGCAUGUAUUAUACAUUGUUCAUUCUGUACACAUGGCAUCCAUUGUAGUCUGUCCAUCCCGGGAGUGGGAUCCCUCCUCUGACG